GUGCGCGCACCGUGCGUUUUGUUCCGGGUGAGCCUUUAGCGGGGAGUUGAUCGGAGCGUCCGCGCGCUUGCGCGUGCUUGUUUGUGGCGACGAACGGGGCCUGCGUGUAGUCGGACAUGCGUGGGCGCCCUCACGCGCGAGCGUGUCUAUAGACCCUGAGCCGACUGCUCUGUGGCUGGGGCGCGAACGGGAGGGCGCAGGCAAGUCUUUGCGCCCCAAGCUAGUUGAAGAAUCUGAGGUUUGGAGAGAUGAAGUGAUUUGAUACAGGUCACAAGGUGAAUACCUGGCGUCUCUGGAAGGAUUCACAAGAAACUACUAAUAUUGGAUGUCUCCAGGGAGGGGAACUGCAUGGCCAAGGGAUGGGGUUGUGGGAAAGACUUGUUACUAAAUAUACUUUAUACCUUUUGAA
Molecule: long non-coding RNA, 409 nt
Organism: Suricata suricatta (meerkat)
Lineage: Eukaryota; Metazoa; Chordata; Mammalia; Carnivora; Herpestidae
Exons: 3
Source: RefSeq, a predicted model, not a curated record